RNAcentral lists this ribosomal RNA (492 nucleotides) under uncultured bacterium. RNAcentral's name for it is "partial 16S ribosomal RNA". It matches the Rfam family "Bacterial small subunit ribosomal RNA", at positions 29 to 507 of the family's 1533-position model. The record is from RNAcentral.
AGUGAACGCUGGCGGUAGACCUAACACAUGCAAGUCGAACGGCAGCACAGUAAGAGCUUGCUCUUACGGGUGGCGAGUGGCGGACGGGUGAGGAAUACAUCGGAAUCUACUUUUUCGUGGGGGAUAACGUAGGGAAACUUACGCUAAUACCGCAUACGACCUACGGGUGAAAGCAGGGGAUCUUCGGACCUUGCGCAAUUGAAUGAGCCGAUGUCGGAUUAGCUAGUUGGCGGGGUGAAGGCCCACCAAGGCGACGAUCCGUAGCUGGUCUGAGAGGAUGAUCAGCCACACUGGAACUGAGACACGGUCCAGACUCCUACGGGAGGCAGCAGUGGGGAAUAUUGGACAAUGGGCGCAAGCCUGAUCCAGCCAUACCGCGUGGGUGAAGAAGGCCUUCGGGUUGUAAAGCCCUUUUGUUGGGAAAGAAAAGCAGCAGGUUAAUACCCCGCUGUUCUGACGGUACCCAAAGAAUAAGCACCGGCUAACUUCGUG